GGACAUCGGAACAACAAUCACAGAGGCCAGAGGACCAACGAGCCUGCUGUCCAUGCUGCCGCUGUUGAUGAUGAUGGGGAUGCUGCGGAUUCUCAUUGAUAUACAGGGUUGCAUGUCCCACUGGAAUGUUGAUAUACUGGCUUGCAUGUCCCACUGGAAUGCCGGUCUCGGGGGGUGGGUAUGCAGGCUGUGGCUUUGUGUCUAUUUCAAGGCUGAUGCACCUGGCUUUGAUGGAUCCAUGGCGAUGAUUUAUCUGGAGCUAGAUAUUAUGAAUCGAUCAAAAACCAUUCUGGGAAUUGAAAAAUGAUUAAAGGUAUAAAGUUUGAGAUAUAUUGUGUUCUUGGUUUGGUAUGGUGUUAGACAGCUAUAACUUUAUAGGAAGCACUUAUACAAUUAACAUGCGCAAAUUAGACUUGGUGUGAGUUAAGGACGAGACUUUUCUUUUCACCUUAUUCUAGGGACCCAGACAUGAAUUGUUCUUUUCGAGUUGCGUUUUUGUUCGUCAUUGCGGCAUGAACAUUGGCUGCGCCAUGCGGGCAUUCGCAGUCGAUGACUUGUUCAGAUCAUUUUCAUGACAGGAUACUGAUUAAUGUCUUUGUCAUGCUGAUUAAUGCAUUUUUUUAAAAUUGUUUUUUUUUAAUUUAUAAUUUUUAUUAAAAAUAAAUAAAUCUCAACUACUUAUAAUUUUUUUUUUAUAUUUAAUAUAUAUAAUAAAAAAGAUAAGAAGGAGAGAGGGUCAAGUUUACUUUAACGUGUCAAUGCAGGCCUUGUUUAUCAUUUCUCAACAAUCAAUUCAUUUCCUCGAAUCAGAGUGCACAGUUCAAGUGGCCAAGCUAUAGAAACCAUGUGGCUGUUGGGAAUUGAGGUCCCAAGACAACGACCAUCAAUCAAUCAGUAUCAAUAUUAAUGCAGUAAAAUAUAAUAAUAAAACAGAUUUAAAAUAUAAACAAUUAUAGAACGAAGACACGUGGCUUUAUUCUUGAUUUAAAAUAAAAUUAUAAAACAGAUUCAAUAUCAUACAUGAAACAAAUAUACACAUGAAAAGUUGUUGGAGAUAAAACAACUUACAGCUAAUGUUUGAUGCUGCACUCUUUUAUUAUUAAAAACAACGUAGCAGUUGGCUUAUAUAAGCCUUACAUGAUGUUGAACAGGAAACUUAACAACCCAUGUUUUAUGUGGUAACAAAUAGGAAAUUAGUUAUAAACUUAGUGUACGUGUAGUACUACACAGUAGUAUUUAUUUAACAGAAAUACUUUAACAAUGUCAACAAUCUCAACAAUGCCUCUCCUAAACUAGACAUAGUAAUACUUUCAGUUUAAUCCUGGUACCUCACACACACCCAAUAACUUACGCAACUUCAAAAAUACAUCCAUCUUGAGUGGUUUUAUCAUAAUAUCUGCAAUUUGUUCUUGUGUGCCACAAUGCUUCAGUUCCACAACUUAGGGGUGAGCAAAAAAACCGGAAAAUCGAUUAAACCAAGAAAACCGGAAAAAAAAUAACCGAAAAAACCAAACCGAAAAAAAAAAACCGAUUAAACCGAUUAUAUUUUUGAAAAAACCGGCCGGUUCGGUUCGGUUUCGGUUUUAUAAGCAAAAAACCGAAAAAACCGAACCGAACCGAAACCGACAAAAAACCGGAAAAAACCCUAGCCAAACCGAGCCAAACCGGAAAAAACCGAGAAAACCGAGCCAAAACCGGAAAAACCGAGCCAAACCGGUUUGAACCGGUUUUUGCCCUAAAAAACCGAACCGAACCGAAACCGGUCGGUUUGACCCGGUUUCGGUUUUUUUUUUCAAAAAAAAAAUUCGGUUUUGUUACUUUUUUUGAUAAAAACCAAACCGAACCGAAAAUGAUCACCCCUACCACAACUCCAUUUCUAGUCAGAUCACGCAGAAAGUGAAACCUUACAUCAAUGUGUUUGCUGCGCCCGUGCAUAACUGGAUUCUUUGAUAACUUAAUUGUUGAACUGUUGUCACAUAACACAGUAGUACACUUUCCUUGAGAAUUACCAAGUUUUUCCAAUACUCUCCUCAUCCAUACUCCUUGACAUGCACAAGAUGUAGAUGCUACAAACUCUGCUUCAGUAGUGGAUAAAGUAACCACCGGUUGUUUUUUUAAAGACCAAGAAAUAGCUCCUUCACUAAGUAAAAACACAUAACCAGAAGUACUUUUCCUGUCAUCCACAUAUCCUGCAUAAUCACUGUCUGUAUAUGCCAAUAACUCUUUGUUACCUUCCUUUUGAUAAAAAAAUUCCCAAAUCCAUCGUACCAUUCAAGUAUCUAAGCACUUUUUUUGCAGCUUGUAAGUGUAUCUCAGUUGGAUUUGCCAUAAAUCUACUAAUGAGACAUACAACAUACAUAAAAUCUGGCGUUGUUGCAGUUAAAUACAUAAGACUUCCAACCAACUGUUUAUACACAGUAGCAUUUACUUUGGCUCCUUCUUCAUCCUUCAUUAAUUUAACACCAGGAACAAUGGGAUUCUUCACACUAUUACUUUUUUCCAUCCCAAAUCUCUCCUAAACAUCUUUUGCAUAUUUCUUUUGACUAAUAUAAAUUCCAUCAGAAUUUUGAAGAACCUCCACACCAAGAAAAUAUUUCAUCUUGCCCAAAUCAGUCAUAUCAAAUUCAAGUUUCAUAGAAUUCUUGAAUUUAACAAACAAACUUUCACUAUUACCAGUAAAAAUUAAAUCAUCAACAUAUAAGCUAACGAUCAAAAUUGUACCUUCAUUUCCUGUUUUUAUGAAUAAAGUGUGUUCACAGUUGCACCGCUCAAAUCCUUCUUUGACAAAGUAUGUUUCAAUUCGGCUAUACCAUGCACGAGGGGCUUGUUUAAGGCCAUAUAAUGCCUUUUUUUAAUCUGUACACCUUGUGCUCUUCACCUUUCUUCUCAUAACCUCGUGGUUGCUCAACAAACACUACUUCAUUUAAUUUGCCAUACAGAAAGGCACUUUUGACAUCAAGCUGAUACACAUUCCAGCCAUGUCGAGCUGCUAAAGCAAUCACCAUUCGAAUUGAAUCCCAUCUAGCCACCGGUGCAAAUACUUCAGUAUAAUCAAUACCAUGUUGUUGUGCAUACCCUUUCGCCACCAACCUAGCUUUACAUUUGUCAACUUCACCAUUUUCAUUGAGUUUAGUCUUGAAGACCCAUUUUACUCCGAUUUUCUUCAUCCUUUUAGGCAAAUCUAUUAGCUCCCAAGUUUCAUUUCUUUCAAUUGUGUCUAUUUCCAUUUUCAUUGCAAUUCUCCAUUUGGAAAACUUCACUGCUUCUUCAAAAGUGACUGGAUCAGUGAGUGAGGUGAAUAAAAACAAGUUUUGCUCAGCUUCUUCUUCUGUAAAUUCUCCUCCACUCAUGUAAUCUUCCAUCCAGAAUGGCACUCUUCUGCUUCUGCUUGCUGGUGAGUCUUCUAUAGGGGAACUGUGCAAGUUGUCUAGCGAACCAUCUGUGCUUCUCCCUACUGGUGACCCUGCUGUUUCAGCUUCUGUUGAGUGAGCUGCAAGUGAACGUGAAUUUUCUCUAACAGGAUUGCAUAAAGAUGAGCUGGCUUCUGCACUGGCUUCUGUAUUACACAAAGGUAAGCCAACUUCUGUUUCUUCUUCAUCUUCAUUUCAAUCACGUUCACUCUCUCCUUCAUAGUCAUGUUCACUCUCUUCUUCAUAGCUGUCUCCCCACUCAAGAGUAUCAGAUGCUGAUAUUUCAUUAUUCCCUUGCCAAUUCCAGCACUCAUUCUCAUCAAAUACCACGUCUCUGCUUGUUACUAUCUUCCCAGAUAUUGGAUUAUAAAGUAUAUAUGUUUUAGACUCUUCACUCAUCCCCAACAGCACACAUUGAAAACUUUUAUCAUCCAGCUUCUUUCUCAAAUUAUCUGGCACAUGAACAUGCCUAAUACAUCCAAAGACCCGAAAAUAAUUCAUAUUUGGUUUAACACCACUCCAAGCUUCUUCAGGAGUAAUCUCUUUUACUGCCAAAAUAGGACUUCGAUUAAGCACAUGUGUUGUCCAGUUUACAGCUUCUGGCCAGAAUUUCUUUGGAACCUGUUUCUCCGACAACAUGCUUCUGACCAUGCUCAUGAUGAUCCUAUUCUUGCGUUCAGCCACUCCAUUUUGUUGGGGAGUAUAGGCUGCAGUGAGUUGUCUGCUAAUACCAUGAUCUUUGCAAAAAUUAUUGAACUCAAAGGAUGUAAACUCCCCACCGCUAUCUGUACGCAGACAGCAAAUGAAAGUUCCUGCUUCUUUCUCAACCAUGUUUUUAUAAUUCUUAAAAACAGUGAAUGCUUGAGAUUUUUCAGCAAGGAAGUAUAUCCACACCUUACGGCUAUAGUCAUCAAUAAAGCUUAUGAAGUACCUCUUCUUGCUAUUUGAAAUAGGUGUGAUAGGACCGCAUAUAUCACCAUGAAUCAGUUGCAGCCUUUGAGAUGCUCUCCAUAGACUUCUCUUUGGAAUUGCCUCCCUGUGUUGCUUGCCAACCAUGCAAUCGGUGCAGAUUUUUGAUAAAUCUUUCAACUGUGGUAAUCCUCUGACCAUUUGUUUAUGCUGCAAUAUUCUUAGACCCUUAUAACUUAAGUGUCCAUAUCUGCAGUGCCAAAGAUGAGUAUUGUCUUCAAUGGUUGUUUGAAAACAAUUGGUAGUCUUCGGUGCAACUGUUGCAUGCAACAUAAACAUUCUGUUUGCAGACAUUGUUGUUUGCACAAUAAGUCCCCUCUCUGGAUGAUAGAGUUUACAAACUCCAUGUUUGAUGAAGACAGCUACUCCCCGUUCUUGCAUUUGUCCAAUGCUCAACAGAUUAUUCCUCAAUUCAGGUAUAUAAAAGACAUCUGUGAUUACCUGAAUAAUUCCAGCAAGCUGUAACCGUAUGGUACCCUUUCCCAACACAGCCAUUUUUGAAUCAUUCCCUAGCUUUACAGAUUGCUAAAAGUCUUCAUUAAGAUCAGAAAACCACUGCUUGUGUGCACACAUAUGAUUGCUGCACCCUGAGUCAAGAAACCAAACAUCUUCUCGUCCUGAUUGAUUAUGCUCCAUAUAUGACAUCAACAACAACUCUUCUUUCUCCUCAAGCUCUGCAUAAUUUGCUUCAUUCUCCCAUUUCAAACAUUCAUACUGAAAAUGUCCUAAUUGAUGACAUUUAUAACACUCUAUUAAGGCUUUGUUAAAAACUGGAUUGAUUCUUCCUCUGCCUCUUCCCCGAAAUGCUCCACGUCCUUGACUGCCUCUUCUUCCACCAAAUCUAUUAUCAUAUGUAACUUUCAAUGCCUGUUCAUCUCUUUGGUGCCCAUUCAUCCUCUGCUCAUGGACAAGUAAACUGCUCUGUAAUUCAUCAAUGGUUAAUGUGUGUAGAUUGUUGGAUUCUUCAGCAGAACACACCACAUAAUCAAACCUUGAAGUCAUUGAUCUCAAUAUCUUUUCAAUGAUCAUGACUUGUUGUAUAUUUUCACUAUGAAUCUUCAUCUUGUUGGCUAUGAUGAGUGUUCGGGCAAAAUAUGCAUCAACACUCUCCCCUUCUUUCAUCUGUAGAAUUUCAAAUUCUUUCCUAAGAGCUUGAAGUUGUGCUCGUUUCACUCUUGUAGAUCCCUGGUAUUUCUGCUUCAUGGAAUCCUAGAUAUGCUUGGCUGUGUCUCUAUUGAGAAUUGUUUCCAUAGCAGUCCGAUCAAUAGCUUGAAACAAGUAGUUUUUAACUUUCAAGUCUUUCAGCUUUUGAUCUGCAAUAGAUUGUCGUUGUGCUUUAGUUAUUUCAACUCCUUCAGCUGCAAUAGAAACACCAUUCUCCACCAAGCUCCAGUAUUCUUUUGAGCGAAGAAAUUUUUCCAUAAGCAUGGACCAAUGAUCAUAAUAACCAUCGAACUAAGGAAUUGCAGGUUGAACAAACAAAUUUUCAGCUGCCAUUUGAAAAUAAAACUCUUUGUAUUUAACUCUCCUUAAAAAAUAACUCUCUGUGUUUAAAAACUCACGCUCUCUGUGUUUAAAAACUCACUUAACUCUCAUUAAGAAACUGCAGUUUCUCGUCACUCACUGCUAAAUCCUAUAACCUGCUCUGAUACCAAUUUUGUUGGAGAUAAAACAACUUACAGCUAAUGUUUGAUGUUGCACUCUCUUAUUAUUAAAAACAACGUAGAGUUGGCUUAUAUAAGCCUUACAUGAUGUUGAACAGGAAACUUAACAACCCACGUUUUAUGUGGUAACAAAUAGGAAAUCAGUUAUAAGCUUAGUGUAUGUGUACUACGCAGUAGGAUUUAUUUAACAGAAAUACUUUGACAAUGUCAGCAAUCUCAACAGAAGUCGCAGACACUUAAGUAUCUUUGUUCUUGAUUCGAUUAAUUUUUUCCUUUAUUUUUAUUUGUCUAAAUGUUAAGUCUUUGUUUGGCACCAAGCAUGAUCAAUGACUAAUCAGUCAGUAAAUCACAACACGUUGACACAUGUCCAGUGUCAUGUGGUGUGUGUGUGUGUGUGUGUAAAAACACGUAUACUCAAAUGCUCAUUUUCUUUUACCUCUUCUUUUUUAUUUUUCAUUUAUUCUUCUUCCGCUAUAUCCAAUUUCACCCCAAAUUACGGUCUCCCACUAUAGCUACUGCCUUCAACAUGAAUUUUUUUUAGCACAGUAAAAAAUAUUUAGAAAAAUAAUAUAAUUUAGAGAGUUGCAAAUAAUAUUUGUAAUUUACGAGUCACACAUGUCAUUCACAACGUUUUUAAAUUGCAAAAUUAUUGAGCAUAAGAUUCAAUAAAAAAAAAAGAGAGAGAAAAACCCCGGAAGCAAAUCGAAAUUUCAUUUACCGUUAGUGAUUUUUUGUUGUUGUUGGAUUCAUUUCAUUGAAAUCUUUUCAACGAUAUCGGUAGUGUCGUUAUCGAAGCUUCGUUGUGUCCUUAUGAUCUUUUUAAUUCUUUUGUUUUUUUUCUCUUUCUUUUUUUUUUUUUUAUUAAAUCUUGUAUUCAAUAAUUUUGUAAUUUGAGAUUCUUGGAUAACACUUCGACUUACAAAUAUACAACUCUAUAAAAUAUAUUAUUUUUCUAAAUAUUUUUUGUUUUAUAUUAUUUUAUCAUAUAUUUUUAUACUAAACUAGAGUCCCAACAAAAAAAACUCCUUCAACAUUGGAGGCCAAUUACAAUGAUACGGUAGAAAACCCAUUUUUGAAAACCUACCACAGACAUGAAUAGCAUCUAAGUAGCAAUAACUCUACCCACACAGCGAAAUCAUAAUGCUCCAUGAAUACAUGUUUCUUAUCGAACACCUUACGAGCUUCUUGAAGAAGCCCAGAUCCUGAGCAUAUAGUAAACAGCUUUUGAGGAGGCCGCAGUUAUAGAUUGUUGAAAAUUCUUGUUAUUAAAGACACCCUAAUUCUACUGUAAUUGGAGAGUGCACCGUCCAAUUUAAUACACAAGCCCAUGCUAAGUCUCUAGUCCAUGCCGCAAUAUUAACAGCGUUGCUUGAGCCCAAGUGUAGCUAGAGACAGUUCCCUCUCCGUUCUAAAGCGAAGGACGAACAAGAAUCUGCGACUUAUUUUCAUACCAAAGACGCUAAAAGGAGACAUUAAUGUCUUUCGAGUUAGCAUCACAACUGCUAACAGGGACUAAUCUAUGCAAGUGUCAUGGCCUUUCUCUUCACCAUUCCUAUCAGCAUCGUGACUGCCAUAAGAGACCAGGUAACCCGAUUGUAAGUUUGCUCCCUUUUAAAUCUUAAUCCGAGCUAGAGAUGAAUUAAUUAAACUAUAACUAAAAGGAGUCAGUGUUUUACUGUGGACUGUACUGUGCAGUCCACAGUAAAACACUGACUCCUUCCUUAGGCGUUUUUUAUUUUUAAGGUUAUCUAAGUUUUUUUAGCUGUUUUUUUUAUGUUUUUUGGGAUUUUUUUUUGCUUUUUUCUUUAUUUUUUUAAUUAAUUUUUUUUGUUUAGUUUAAUUUAUUAAUGUUAAAUUUCUUUCUAUUUAGUUAUUAGACUUUCAUGACACAUAUCUCGAGUUUCACGGGUUAACCUGGUAUCACGGGUGAACCCAGUUAAUUCCGGGUUGACCCGUCAAUUUUUUAUUAUUAUUAUUUUCAUAAAUAUUUUUUUUUAAUUUAGUUUGUUAAUGUUAAUUUUUUUUUAUUUAGUUAUCAGACUUUCAUGACACAAAUACUGGGUUUAACAGAUUAACAUGGUUUGACGAGUUAACCCGGAUUUUUUUUCUUUUUAAUUAAUUUUUUUUGUUUAGUUCAGUUUGUUAAUAUUCACUUUUUUUUAUUUAGUUACCAGACAUUCAUGACACAGAUCCCGGGUUUAACGGGUUAACUUGGUUUGACGAGUUAACAUGAAUUUUAUUUUAUUUUUUGCUUUUUUUUUGUUUUUAAUUAUUUUUUUCGUUUCGUUUAGUUUAGUUUGUUAAUGUUAAAUUUCUUUCUAUUUAGUUUUUUUUUCUUCUUAGAGGUUUUUUUUCUUUUAUUUGUUAUUUUUAAUUAAUUUUAUUUAAUUAAUUUAGUUUAUUAAUAUUAAAUUUUUUUCUAAGUAGUUCUCGACUGAUUGAUGGCUUUAGUUUUUUUUUAUGUCUUUGACUGUGAACUGCACAGUGCAGUCCACUGUGAAAAGGCUGAUGUUUUUUUUUAAUUAAUUUUUUUGUUUAAUUUAAAUUGUUAAUGUUAAAUUUUUUUUCUAUUUAGUUAUCAAACUUUCAUUACACGGAUUCUGGGUUUGACAGGUUAACCUGGUUUGACGAGUUAGCCCAGUUAAUUCUGGGUUAACCCAUUAAUUUGUUUUUUUCUUUUUAACUAUCAAGCUUUCACGAUGCAAAUUCAAUGUAUGACGGGUUAACCUGGUUUAAAGGGUUAACCCAAUUAAUUCAUUUUUUUUUUUCAUUAGUUUUUUUUUUCCUGUUGGUUUUUUUUAACUAAUUUAUUAAAUUAUCACACUUUUAUGACACAACCUUGCAGCCAGACCCAUGUCCAAUGUUAUUGGGUCUGGUAUUGCAAUCCAGACACUUUUAUGCUAAUGGUUAACCCAAGUUUAAUGUUAUUAUUAAUAUUAUAAACAUUACUCUUGGAUCAGGCGUUGCAACCAAACCUGAUACUCUUGGGUAUAACUUUGUAAAAAAAUCUAAUACUUUUAGAUCUUAACUAUUUUUAAAAUGCAAAAAAUAAUUGACCCGCAGCAUCGCGCGGGGCAUGUAACUAGUAUGUUCUAAAAUUCUUCAGCUUUAUCAUGUCUAAUUUAGCAUGCCCAGAAAACAUAAUAUUCCAAAAGUAUAAAUCUUUCUCAAACACUUUACAGGAGCUACGAUGAUAACCAUAUAGUACAUACUUAUGAAUAUUAAAUUAUUGACUAAAGCUGCUAAAGUCAAAUUUAAUAGGACUUAAAAAUCUUUAAAGGUUAAAAAAUUCAUUGUUUUAAAUAACAUGUCUAGGUCCAACCGCCCAUAAGCUCAACCUUGAAGAAAAGUUCGAUGUCAUGGGCUCAACGAGCUCAACCUAAUAGACAAGCUCAUCUUUCAUGGGCUCAACCUAUAAAAAAAAGACCAAAGAAAUGGGCUCCGCCCUAAGAAAAGAGUCCAAUGCCAUGGGUUAUUUUCAAUAGACAUAGCCCAUUACAUUGGGCUCUUUCCCUAGGCUUUUUUAUUUUAUGGUCAGAUUUCAAUGAUUUUCUUCUCUUAUCUCUCAAACCUAGAGUUAAUAAAUAACAAAAAUAAAUUUUUAUAUCAAAAUUAGAUUGAAAACAUAUUGAGGGAUCGAAUAUAUACAGGUUGUAAAGUUUGAGAACUAAAGUAAAUGUUUUGUGUGAACUUUGAAAUUAUUAUCUUAUUAUGGUUUUUCUACUUUGAUCCCAUGUCUUUGAAUUUUAAUUAUUUUUAGUAUGUAAAUUUGAUUCAAUUAUCUUAGAGUUUCAUCCAGUUUGAUCCAAGAAUGAUGGAAUUGCACAAAACAAAUUAAGAGCUAAAUUAAAAAAAUAUUAAAUUUUAAACACAGAAUAUCAACGAUAAAAUAUGAAAGAGUGAAUAUCCUGUGUGUGAACAGUGAAAUGACCACAUUUUUUUAGAUUUAUAGUAACAAUAAUAAUAAUAUGGAAGAUGAUUAAACAAAAACAACAAGAAGAAGAAAACACUUUUUUCAUGCAUGAGUUUAUCCCUUGAUCAUUUAAGCCGUGUACAUUUAUAUAUAAAGGCGACUAGUAAUAAAAAUCCCACAAUCUCAAUUCCCAAACAAAUAAGAUAACACCAGUCGAAUUGAAAACACAAAAACAAAAGCAAGCUCAGAGCUUCAUUUAUUACCGCUAUAGUUUAUGCCUUACACGCACAUGCCAUUGGAUAAACCAUAUUAAAAUCUGUAUAUGUUUUGAGGGUAAAACAGAAUAAAGAAACUAGGAAGAGUAUGUAAGUAAUCCAAUAAGAAGAUGCCACGCUCUCCACAAACUGACAUCAUUUUUACUAAUUGUAGCAUGAUAGUAUCCAGUAGAUCACCCACUCUAUCGGGUCAUGCCUUGUCCAACUACCGGAGCCGAUGGAGCCACGGUGCCACUUGGUCCCUGCAAACUCUCUUGCCAACCUGAUAAUUUCCAAAUAAAAAAAUAGAAAAGUUAAUUUCUAAUUUUGCUAACCCAGAUGUGCAACUGACCAAGGAAUAUAAGGGUGAAAUAUAUACCACUAGCCAUAUCGAAUCCACGGUGCUCGAGCUCGCGGUACUCUUGGCACAGGGCGCAAGACUCACAGCAGCAGUGAACCAAACAGUCAUUGCAAGGACUCUCCUCUAACAUGUAUUGCGUCCUUAAUUUGGACCGGUAGAGGCAUGAGUACAGGCAGCUGCAACCAGUGAACCACAUAAGCAAUCCAUAAAUUGCUCCACUCACAACACAAGCUGCAAAAAACCAAAGAAUUCUUUCAUAAAAAUCACAAAUAAUUAUAUAGAAAAAAAAGAAGAAGUAACAUCCAAAAUCAACUAGACACGCGACAAUUGAUUGCUAGCAAAUUAUCAGCAAUCAACAAUAAAGCCUAUGAAUUGAACCACUAUAUUAUUUACUUACGUGUUGUUCCUUUAUCUGUAAUCUCAGCAAUCCGUCCAAAAGUGAUACAUGGACACCAACACGUGAGGCAACCUGCAAUUAAUAGGAACAGGUUAAAUAUAAUAAUAUAGCUAAAGAUUCAUAGCCCAUGUUCUAUUUUUACACGUGGCCAAAACGAAACUAAAAGGCCAUCUCGCCUGUUCAUGAGAACUUGUACUUACAACCAGGGACAUCGGAACAACAAUCACAGAGGCCAGAGGACCAACGAGCCUGCUGGCCAUGCUGCCGCUGUUGAUAAUGAUAUUGGGGAUGCUGCGGAUUCUCAUUGAUAUACUGGCUUGCAUGUCCCACUGGAAUGCCGGUCACGGGGGGUGGGUAUGCAGGCUGUGGCUUUGUGUCUAUUUCAAGGGCUGAUGCACC
Molecule: long non-coding RNA, 11367 nt
Filed under: Populus trichocarpa (black cottonwood)
Lineage: Eukaryota; Viridiplantae; Streptophyta; Magnoliopsida; Malpighiales; Salicaceae
Description: long non-coding RNA (PTRI_LNC002515)
Source: RNAcentral